Molecule: long non-coding RNA, 19230 nt
Filed under: Daucus carota (carrot)
Lineage: Eukaryota; Viridiplantae; Streptophyta; Magnoliopsida; Apiales; Apiaceae
Description: long non-coding RNA (DCAR_LNC005339)
Source: RNAcentral
GAAAAGACUAGGUCCCCAUGUACCAAUAUGCAAACCAGACACCAGAAUGAGUUUGUUUCAGUUGGAGAAAGAAGUAGUACUAGUUAUCAGUCUCCUACAGAAUGUUCAGAUGGCCAAGUGCAGGAAAUUCGUACUAAUUUACCCUUGCAGCUUUUCAGUUCCUCUCCUGAAAGUGACAGCCCACCGAAAUUGGCAUCAAGCACGAAAUACUUCUCAUCAGGUAGCAGUAACCCUAUGGAAGAAAGGUCACCUUCAUCUUCUCCGCCUUUUGUGCAAAAGUUGUUUCCCACAGUUUCCUCAAGAGAAGCAGUAAAUCCCAAGAGAUUGUUAAAUAGACUUGAGUUUAAUGGGAGUUCUAAAGCUGGUAAGGAUAAAGGCUGCUCCACGUCUCUUGAUCUUUUUGGAGGGACGAAUAAAUGUGUUGACGAUAGUUCUGUUCAAAGUUUACCAUACCAGGCAGGGUACACAUCGUCUUCUGGAUCGGAUCAUUCACCUUCAAGUUUAAAUUCGGAUGCUCAGGUAAUAUAGAAGUAGAGACUUGUCCUGUUUUUGACAUCUAAUUUGAUAUCGCUCUAUCUUAUUAUUCAAAUUAAUGAGACGCUGACUACCUCUCAGAAUCGUUCUGGACGGAUAUAUUUUAAAUUAAUCGAUAGGGAUCCUAGUCAGUUACCUGGAAAACUGAGAACACAGGUAAGCCACAAUCUUUGUAACCUCCAACUGUUAUCUUAUAUUUGAUUUAUCCAAACAUAGGAUAAUUGAUUACCUUUUUGAUUUCAGAUCUUUAAUUGGCUUGGUCAAAGUCCAUCAGAAAUGGAAAGUUACAUAAGACCUGGUUGUGUAGUACUAUCAAUCUAUAUUUCUAUGCCGUCUUCUGCCUGGGAGCAGGUAAUUUAAAUAUUUUAGAGGAUAAAAUCAGCUCUUUUGUUUUAUGCAAAGAUUAUUCUUUUUGUUGUUUUGGGUAGUCUAUUGACUGCUGAAUAUUUCUUGUGUUUGCAGCUUGAAGAAAAUCUACUUCAAAACAUCACUUCUUUGGUUCAAGAUUCGGAAGAUCCAUUUUGGAGAAAGGGAAGAUUCUUAGUCAAUACUGGCAGACAGUUGGCAUCGUAUCAAGAUGGUGAGUGUUCUUACGAUCACAAUUACAAUAAUCAUACUUCUUGUUGGUUUUAGACAUGUGCUGGUAGCUUAUAUAGUUCCCUAAACGAAUUGAGUACAUAUGUAUUUAUAUUCAGUCACUAGCUAUCUUUGGCCUAAGUUGAUGUUAUCCAUCUACAGGAAAGGCUCACCUCCGUAAAGCUACGAGGGCAUGGAGUUUUCCUGAAGUAGUCUCUGUGUCCCCUUUGGCAGUUGUUGGUGGGCAGGAGACCACUAUAUUACUGAAGGGGAGAAAUUUGAGUGAUCAAUACACCAAGUGAGUAGCUUAUUCUUACCAUUGCAAAUGUUAAGUUUGCUAGUUUAACUAUAUUGAAAUUGAUUUAAUGCUAUUCUAGAGUUUUCUGCACGCACGCUGUUGGAUACAAGCUUGAGGAAACUUCUGGAUCAGCUUCCGAUGAUACUACAUAUGAUAGUAUAACUUUACGCAAUUUUACGGUUGCUGAUGAAGCACCUGGUAUACUUGGGAGGUGCUUCAUUGAGGUAUUGAUUAAUUAAUAAGCAAGUAAUAAAUUACAUCACCAUGCAUGUAUCUUCAAACAAGAUUAUAAUACUGCUUUCAUGAACAGGUUGAAAAUGGUUUUAGGGGCACCAGCUUCCCUAUAAUUAUUGCCAAUGCUACCAUCUGUAAAGAGUUAAACCUUCUGGAGUCUGCAUUUGAUAAAGUUGCAGCACCACGUGAUGCUAUCUCAGAGGAAUCAUUCCUUGAUUCUGGACGACCCAUAUCAAGGGAAGAUGUUCUACAUUUCUUGAAUGAGCUUGGAUGGGUACUCCAAAGAAAAAGAUACAUGUCCAUGUUUGAGGUCCCCGAAUAUAAGCUUCACCGUUUCAAAUUUCUGUUUAUCUUCUCAGUUGAACAUGACUUUUGUGCUUUGGUUAAAACCCUCCUAGACGUUCUUCUUGAAAUAUGUUUGGGUAGGGAUGAAUUGUCGAGAGAGUCGCUACAGAUGCUGUUAGAGAUCCACCUUUUAAAUAGGGCAGUUAAAAUGAGGUCUAGAAAAAUGGUAGACUUGCUGAUUAAUUAUUUUGUACCUACUGAUUCCGGAAAGACAUACAUCUUCCUACCAAAUCUUGCUGGGCCUGGCGGUAUUACACCUCUACAUUUGGCUGCAUGCAUGUCAGAUGCAAAUUCUAUGGUUGACACUUUGACAACCGACCCGCUGGAGGUGUGUACUUUUAUUAUUGUUUUUUGGUUUCUAGUUAUCUAUAUUUAAAAUCUCAUUAGUCAUGAUCCUUAUUCCUUGGCACCUCAUAAUACUCAAAAGAUAGAUUUUAGUUUCCCAAAAACUGUUGAUAAUUUCUUCUUUUUUUAAAAAAAAAUCCUUUAUAUGUGCCUCUGUUUUUGUCCAACUGUAGAUUGGUUUGCAUGGAUGGGAUUCCCUUCUUGAUGCAAAUGGCCUCUCUCCUUGUGCUUAUGCUCAGAUGAGAAACAAUCACUCUUACAAUGCGUUAGUAGCUCGAAAGCUUGUUGACAGAAAAAAUGGUCAAGUCUCUGUUCCGGUAGGUGAUGAGAUACAAGAACAAUCACUAAUUGCGGGUCAGAUCCACCAAGCUAGCUUUCAAAUCAGACAAGGGCAAAGAUCUUGUUCAAAGUGCGCCGUCGGGGCUGCUAGGUACAAUAGGAAGACUUCAGCCUCACAAGGCUUGCUUCACCGGCCCUAUAUACAUUCAAUGCUUGCCAUUGCUGCUGUUUGUGUUUGUGUAUGCCUAUUCUUAAGAGGAGCUCCAGAUAUAGGUCUAGUUGCCCCAUUCAAGUGGGAAAAUCUAGGAUAUGGGGCAGUGUAGUCCGUUACAACUAUGCAUACACCGUUUCUCGGACCAAGGCCAAUAAUUGUUGUGGAAAUUGAUAAACUGAAAAAAAGUUACAAUUAAAGAAGAGAAAGGAUAAAGCUGAUCAUAAUAUUGUGGCCUGAGGAGGAAUAUGCUAUGCUUCAAAGUAGUAUUAGGCUCAUGCUAAUAAUUUUCAAGCUUUGGUUGGAGAAAACAGAGUUGGGAGUAAUUUUGUGGCAAGGACUGAAUUGAUAUCAUUAUUCUCAAGUAGUGCUGUUCUUUAAGUCUCGAGUGUUGCAUGACAUUGUAAGAUCAUAUGAUAUGGACUGGAGAGGCUGCAUUUGAAGCAAGGAGCAAUAAAGGCUCAACUGGUAUCAGCAGCAGUGUAAGAUAUAGUUUACUGUUCUGUAAAGCCAUUUAGUUUUUCACCUUAAUUUUGUUGUGGGUUUUUUUUCUUUGACUUGUUUAUGUUUUUGAAAAAUCAUGCUGACUAUUAUAUUACUGUAAACUGUAAAGAAUCUACAGGAUCUUAUGAACCUAUAAUAUACUUAGAUAUAAAUAAGCAGCCAACUACUUUUUCCCACCUUUAGUAUAAAUAAAGAAUUACAUUUUCUAUUUACUACAUCAUUGUUUGUUUUUUAUGAUAAUUUGCUACGUCAUUGUUGGACUACACAGAUUUAACAAGUUCUAAUAUUUUUAUACAUUAUAUAAUCUGCUUUGUAAUUAAGCAUUAAGGUUAGGGAGAAACAAAAGUAACGUUGGAGUGCUCUAUUUCAGCUGAUCAAGCAUUAGGUUCUAAAAAUGCAGUAAAUCAGAUAUCAGAGUGCUAGAGGUAUUCCAAACACAAUUUGAGUGCCCUUUCCUGAAGCUGAAAUUUACUCUUCUUACAGGAAAAAGUUUCAGAUGCUUCUGUAAGUUCAGAACUACAGGCAUCAGUAUUUAGAAAUCUGUGGUUUUGGCAUGAUGGCUGCUUGUUAUAUUGUGUAACAGGCAUUAUCAUUGUUAAUAGUUUAUUGUGUUUUAAUUAGUUGCAGCCAGAUCCUUCAUACGAGUUUGUGCUUUUGGUUCAGCAUACAGUUCCACCUGCUGUGAACUUGGGUCUGACCAAUUUCAUUCAGCUACAAAUAUUUUUGUAUGGUCUCGGGUUUUUUUUCGAGGGUUCUAUAUAUUAUCUGGUCUUGUUUGUUUUAAGUUUUCAAAAUUUUCAGAUGUCUUGUCUUCUUGGCAGGGGCGUAGCCUGAAAAUUCAUAAACUGGGGUCAAAAUAUUAUAUUCUCUUCGUUCCGCCAGAUUGUUUACGUACACCGUUUGCAUGCAUUUUGGGCCUCUUGUAAAGCAUAACGUAUUUUUAAUUUUUUCUUUUUUUGAAUAAAAAUUUAAACGUGAAUUUUUUUUUAAAAAAAAAUGUAUUAUGUAAGUAUACUUUAUAAAAACCUUAAAAUGUGUGCUAAAAAUUAAUGUAAAGAACCUCAUGGGACUGAGUAACAUAUGAGCGACGGCAACCAGCAAGAGUAAAUGAGUAAAGUAGCGGAGGUGGAGGCUUGGAGCGGCUGUGAGUACAAAAUAGAUAGAGAGAGUUAUAUUUUAAUAAAUGGGUUAGUGACUAGUGCUUUAGAGGGGACUAGGGUGUAUAUUAUAAAGUGUCAUUGAAGAUUAAGAUUUGCAACUGGGUUUUACUACUUUGCUGUUUUUUUUGUUCAGAGUGAGAACCAGGGUCAAACCAAUUUUUAAUAUGAGUUCAAAAUUUAUUUUAAUAAUAAUUAUAUAGAUAAAGUAAAAUAUUUUAUGGGUUCAAGUGACCCCUCAAGCGUGGCUGUAGCUACGCCCCUGCUUCUUGGUGGUGAAUUUUACUCAUAAAAUAAAUUUAUGCAUGCUAUUAUUGAAGAUGAUAUAAGACCAUUUCAUGAACAAGCAAGCCUCUUCUUGUAUACAAGCUACAGACAUACCUUAGCAGGCUUCUUCUUGUAACUAGCGUUUCGCUUUCAAGUGGUGAAGGUUGAGAUUAUCCUUAAUUUGGUACCUCCGUGCGCAGCUGUCUUGCAACUCCAAAUGCAUGUACAGUAUAGUGUUUUUGUUGCUUGCGUUUUGGCCUUUUGGGAUAAGACUUGAUGAAAAGAGUGUGGAUAUCUUUAGUUGAGCCAAGAUAUAGUCAUGUCGAUUAUGCUGGGGAUUGGGUAAAAUCGAGUGCAGAGAUAAUUUUUGCUAAGCUUGGGUGUCAACAAUCUGUUAUUGUUAUAUCUCUUGCAUGCUCAUGAAUUCAGCAGCAGUUCCCUAAGUUUGCGUGACAGAUAAAUAGAUGUUACACAUGCAUUGUUCAAUUCCAAACACUUUACAUGCAGAGAUUAGCAAUCACAGUAUAAAUGAAUCAAAGAUUAUUUUGUUUCGCAAUCAUUUUAAUCAUUCUUUACUCAGAUUGAACAAAUUUGGUUGCCAAAAUUUAGACACAGGCAACAUGAAAGUUGUAACUGAAUAAUUUGGUCUCGUUCCUGCUUUGCCCCCUGGUGGAAACACGACGGUGUGGAAUGAUUGGAAAAUCAUCGACACCACGUUCUUACUUGAUAGUCUAAGGAUACAAGACAACGCCAAGUUAACUCUUUAAGGAGUCAUUUGUUAAAUCUGGAUAAUAUUUUCUGGAUGAAUGAAAUUCUGAAUGAGUAAAUAUCUGGAUGAUUGUAUUUUUGAAUCAUUUGUUAAAUUAAAUCUGAAUGACUUAAAAUUAUAUAUUAAAUUUAUUUAAUAAUUAUUUUUAUUAGAAAACAAGAUUUAUAAUUGAUAAUUCAUUAAAUUAACAUGAAAAAAAUUUACAAUACAAAUUUCUUAUCAAUUAUCUCUAUAUAAUAAUAAAUGCAUUUCUUUUAAAAUAAUAAUCGAUGUGUUAAUAUAUAAGCCACUAUUUUAUAAGAUUCAAAUCUUGUUAAUUAAAAUUAACUAUUUAUUUUAUUAAUUUUAUAAUCAUAAAUAUAUUAUAAUAUAAGAAGUUAUUAUAUAAAGCAAAUAUAUGUUAAAUUAGCACACAUAUUCAUCAACACACUUACACAAGCAAGGUAUAUGAACCAUCCAGCGAAGUUAUGUAGCCUUUUUCGUCCAGCGAAUUUUCCAGUCGUUCAGUUGAUUUACGACAGCAACAAACAAUCUGAAUAGCUAACCUUUUUCUCGUCCAGCUAUAUCUGUCUCGUUCACUCGUUAACAAAUGAGGCCUAACAGUAAAUUAUUAGAAUAAAAUCUAUGGACUUGCUGAUAAAAAACAAGCAAUAUUUUAAAAAUAGAGUGAAUUGCAGGUUGUGUACCUGAACUAUCACAAGCUUGCACUUUGUGUACCUGAAAUAUACUAUCUAGCAGAUUGUGUACCUGGAAUUUGAAGAUUCUAGCGAUGUGCAUACUUCAACCUUUUAGUUCAAAAACUCAGAAACAGUAUUAGAAUAUAAUGUAAAUCAAAUUUUCAAAGAGGAAGAUAAAACUGGUAUUGAAUCAAGUAUGACUUACUUGGAAGAGUUCUAAAUUAGUACUUAACAAUUGUGGCAGAGUAAAGAUGUGGUGAAGCUUAACUAACCAUUGUUCCUUUGACUUGAGUAGUGACAUGGCCUCUUGAGCGGUUAGCCAUUGGCUUGGAAAGGCCAAAAUCAGCAACUUUUGCGUUCAAGCGUUCAUCUAACAAGAUAUUAUUUGAUUUGAUGUCCCUAUGUAUGAUCGGAGGGUUGGCUAGGUCAUGCAGAUAUUGUAAGCCUUUGGCUGCUCCCAGAGCUACUCGAAGUCGUCUAUGCCAGUCCUACCUGAUCCCAGACUUCCCUUAAAAGUGAAUAAGAUAAUUACGGUAUCAGAACUCGGAUGUAAAUUUGUUAUAACCUAAUCACAGACUUCCCUUAAAAGUCCUGAACUUCUACACAGAUUUCUUGCCGAGCCUGAACUUGAGAAAGAUAUGUAACUAAAUGCUAACUAGCUCUCUAUUUGUAAGCAUCUAGUCCAUCAGUAUAGGAUAUGAGCCCAGAGGAAGGAAUUUGAAGGCACUUAUACAAUAAGGAAUGCAAGUAAAAUAUUUGAUAAGCUCAUGUACCUGAGAGCCUUUCUUUCAGAGUUCCGUUUGCAAUAUACUCAUACACCAGCAUCUACGGCUGUAAAAUGAUCCGAGCGAUACCGGUUACCCUUUGCUCAAGUAUAGGAUCAUAUUAUUUUUAGCUUGUCUAGAUUUGGUUCCGGGAUCAGUUUAUUCGGAAAUAAACCGAUCCCGGAUAUAUGUGAUUCGGAUCUGAACCGAAUAUGAUCCAGUAUCGUAUUUUCUAUUUUUUAACCGGAUAGUUUAUGAUCCAUCGACUAUGAGCCAGAUAUGAUCCACUAACAUUAAAUAUCAUUAUCGUUUCAUUUAUUCAAAUAAUUAUCAUUUAGUCUAAGUAAACAUAAUAUUAUAAAGUAUAAUAAUUUUAAAUUAAAACUUAUAGUUAUAUGUUGAUAUAUAUCAUUUAUUAAAUAUAUAUGAAGAUAAUAAGUAUGAUCACAUGAAAUAAAUCAUAUUUUAUGAAGAUAUAAACUUAAUAAGAUAUUAAAAUUUUAUAAAAUGAUGACUAUUUACUUAUAAAUAUGAUGGAUUUAAAAUAUAAUAUGUAUAUGAGUUCGAAUCGAAUAUGAAUCGUCGAUCAUUUUCGGGUAUUCGGGUAGGAUCCUAUUAUGAAAAAUUAUAUGAGACCGAAUCUGAGCGGGCAUAGGUGUGCUCGUAUCUGGGAUCAUAUAUUAUACAGGCUUAAUUUUUCCGCCAGAUUUGGAUCAUUUUCAAAACGGAUAUGAGACAUGUAUUAUUUUCCAGCCGGAUAUAAGCCAAGACUCCGGAUAGUCCGUAUUUACAGCCCUACAUCUGUUCACCUUGCUCAAAACAAAAACCCAUGAGGCUGAGAGAAGCUCAAUCUCAGUUUUAAACUCAUGGCCGCCUUGCAUAGAUUGUUGAUCUGCUCUUUUAAUUGCAACCAGCAUCCCACCGGGAAGAGAUCCUCUAUAUACCUACAAAUAUCAAGACUAAGAUAGAAUUAUAACAGUAAAUAAAAUUUUCUGGGGAUUUGUUCAAAUCAAGGUCAAUUUAUACAACACAGUUUUAUAUUCAGAAAAUUUAGAAGAUGUAGCAGGUUCUGUUGGUUUUUAAGAUACAAGAGGGAGAUAGAUAUAAGAGCAUCUCCAAAAGGCUCUUUAUUUAGGCUCCUAACUUGAGAUUUGAGGAGGGAGAAGCAAAAUGUUGCUCCAAGAGACUCUUAAGUGGCUCUUAAAUCUUAAGAGCCUCUUGUUUCUCUCUCCUCUCUCCUCAAAGUUAAGAGCCACCACAUGGCUCCUAAGUUAUUAUUUCACCAUAAACAAAUCCGUAUCUCCAAUCAACCUCCAUCUUUCCCUCUCUUUUGUUAUAGUGGAGCCCAAUAUAUGAAUAAAAUAUGAAAUAGAGAAGAGAUGUAGAGAGUAUUGUUGGAGUUUACACUCUUAACUUUGUCCUAAAUUACUAAGAGCCACAUUUUUUAUAUUAUAUUUAGGAGCCAACAAGGAGGCUCUUGGAGAUGCUCUAAUAUAUUAGGUGGAAGCUUAUAGGAGAGACAUGGAAGCUUAUAAUUUUAUUAAUCAAAAAGUUUUUUAUAUAGAGCUCACAAAAAUCACAUUAGCACGAUUAGUGUCACAUAAUAAGUUUAUGGAGUUACAAAUCUUAUCUAAUUAAAGAGGCAUUAAAACAUUAUCAACUAAUUAAUAUUUCAGUUACAAUUUUGAAUCAUAAUUCCAACAGGUUCAAGAGAAUUCACAAAUUAUUCGUUACUUAUGCAUAGGUGCUUGAGGAGUUCGAAAAUUAUCAAAACCUGUUUCAGUAAUUUCAUAGCAAUAUAUUGUAACAUCUCAAUAUAUAUGCAUAGUGAUAAAAGGCAAAUUCAACUGUAAUUGUCUGCCGGCACAGGGCAAGUGGCCUAACUCCGGAAGAACUAUGAAAUAGUCUCUGUCAAAUUACUUACAACCACAGCAGAAUUUGAUAAGAAUAUAGGUAUUAUAUAUUCCAGCUAACCUUCCCAUAACCACCAGAUCCAAUAGCAUUAGCCUCGGAGAAGUUGUUAGUGCAUUUCAUAAGAUCUUCAUAUGAGAAACAUCUUGCUCCUUUCAAUUGAGGACCGCCAGUGCUGCUACUGUUAGAGUCCCAAGAACCUGCAAGCUUUUGAUGUUAAGUCGUAAUUUAGGGCUGAAUUACUACAUUUGCUCAUUUAUGAUCUUAUCAAAAGAAUUGCUUAGUUGAGUAGCUCUUUUAGCUCUUUUCUUUUCACGAAAAGCAUAAAUUCCUGCAAGAAGUAACAGUAGCACCAGUACACAACCACCAGCUGCAGCUCCAAUUGCAAUGCCGGUACUAGAUGACUUGCUUGUCCUCCUGGUUACAUCUGGACAAGUCCAUCACACAUCGCAGAGUCAAAAGAUCCAGUUUAACAUAGUAUGACCAACUUCUUUUAGUGUCUGUGUCAAAACAUUACUUACCUGAGGUAAACAUGCCAUAGUUAUCAGCAUUGAAGUAGUAAGUCCCAUAAACAGUUUUAUUCGGCUUAAAAGUUUGGUUGCUAAACACAAACCCUAAAGAAGAAAUUCCUGUACGGUUAAAGCGAUCUUUCCCUAAUGGGAAAACUUCCAAGGUGAUUACAAGGUAAUCAUCCAGAUUUUUUGUUGGAUCACUCAAGGAAACUGAAUCCACAGGGAGUCUAGUGGACUGAAAAAAUGACAUCAUGGAUGACUGAAGAGAUGUAUAGAAACUUGGAUCUUCUAGGUUGGAGAAGGAAGGAGCUUUAAAAUACAAAUGUCCCUGGUAUGGAUAUGCACAUAUACAGUUAGGGCUGGAUCUUUGAUCUGAACUACACAGAGCAGGCACACAGUUAUUUGUCUCCGUUGAAUAGGACGAAGAGUUAGACUGCUGAGGUAGGGUACAGUAUUUUUCAGUCCCUCCACUCUCACAAUAAGGGUUGCCGAUAAGUCUACAAAAGAGAAGCACAAGUUACAACAAUGUUAUAACAAAUUUAAUGAUAAAAAUGCUAAACUAGGAUUUACCAAAAAAGCCCUGCAAAAUUGGCCUAGAAUAAGAUCAAAUGGCCUACAUUAUCUCAGAAUUGUCUCCGGCUCGUUGCACUGGGGCUGAUAUGUUAUUGCUCUGCAAAUCUACAAGCUGGAGUUGGUUGCUGAAGCUAGAUCCGACGUCAAUGGUUCCAUUAAGAUGGUUAUUUCUUAGUAUUCUGUUACAAAAAAAAAAAGAGAGAAAAGAAAGAGCAGUUUGUUAUCCGUAAUUCAUGUAUGUUUGUUUAACAAUAAAUAGAGAUAUUCCAAUAUAUAUAAUACAUGAAUACAUAGAGGAGUUUUUUCACGUACACAGUUUGUAAUUGAGUAAUACUGAAGAGUUGCAGUGGCACUUCUCCUUGAAUAUUUGUGUUGUCCAUCACUCUGUCGUUGCAAGUUUAUGUCAGAUCCUAAACACAAAGUCAAUUAAUAAUACCAUGGCUACUCCAAAGCUAACUUCAUAGAAAUAUAAAGAUUGAAGUAGCAUUACCAAAUGAUGAAAUUAUUAUAUACAUUGGCAUUAGUUUUUUUUUUUUUUGCCGGAAGAAAUAGAAUUCAUUAAUUCCUCAAAUCGUUCUUCAGUACAUGAAGGAACUCUGAAUGAGCAUUACUCAUCCACCACCUACGAUCAGCAAUAGAACUACUAUACCUCGCUAAAUAGUGAGCUACGUGGUUCGCAAACCGCUUAACAAAUUUUAAGAAAACUCCUCUGUUUUUCAACUCCGAAAGCAGAUUUUUGCAUUCUGCUAUAAGCCUACCGAAAUAUGACAUGAGAAGGGAAGAGCUUCUUAUUGCCUGUAUUGCAACCAGGCAAUCUGAUUCGAUCGUCACAUCACACAUAUGCUGCUCUUUUAUCCAACUCAGGGCCUCCCUAAUCCCCAUCGCUUCUGCACUUUCAGGAGUCAUACUACCUUGUUUACAACUUGAGCGUGCUUCAAUCAGAUCUCCUGCAUGGUUUCUGGCAACGAAAGCAAAACUGUAGCAGUUGGAGGAUUGAAAAAUCGCAGCAUCAGUGUUCACCUUAGACUUAUUUUCAGAUGGAAGGGACCAGUGCUCUUCGCCAUCCUCCUUGGUCAUGAAACCUAAGAAGUUGUCGAACUGUUUGUCUUGAGCAGAUUGCCAUUGUCUAAGGACCAUAUUUGCCGAUUCUACGACGUCAACUAUCUCCGUACCGCGUUGGUUCCACACUAACUCGUUUCGUGCCUUCCAUAUUGACCAGCACAACAUAGCAUUUUUCUGGCGCUUUGCAACAUCCCAGCUAUCAAAGUUGUUUAGAACCCAAUCUGAGAAAGAGUCCCCUUCAUUAUUUCCUGGAAGGCCACCGAUUCUAUCCCAACAUGAUUUAGCAAAUGAGCAGUGGAGGAGCACAUGACUAGUGGAUUCUGGGUCUGAGUUGCAAAGAGGACACAAAAUAUUUACCUCCACCCGUUUUGUACGAAGCAUUACUUUAGUGGGAAGGCAGUCAGUUGCAGCUCUCCACAUAAAAUGCUUGACUUUUGGAGGCACUUUCAUCGUCUAAAGAUUCUUCCAGAAGCAUGGAUUUACUGAUGAAUUUUGGCCUGGCUUGCUAUCCUGGAUCCUCCUGUAUGCUGUUUUCACUGAGUAACCACCACACUUUGCGUACUUCCAAUACCAACUAUCUGGAGAAUUAUUCUGCAGAGGGAUAGAUAAGAUAAGGUUAAUGUCCCUUUCAUCAAAGAUAUCUUCGAGGAGAUCUUCAUCCCAUUUGUUUUCUCCCGAGACCAUUACAGAAGAUACUUUUGCAUUUUGUAUGGCCGGAUGUAUUGUUUGAAUGAAAGGGUUUUCGACAUCUGGAAGCCAUGGAUCUUCGGUAAUGCUUAUAAGAUCACCCGUACCCAGACGACAGGCCAUCCCUUGUUUAAGCAUCUGUUGAGCCUCUAAAAUGCUUCUCCAAAUAUAGCUGGGACUUCCACCAAUCUUAGCUGAUAAAAAGUUACUUUGUGGAUAGUAACGAGCUUUAUAGAUCCUUGCAACUAAGCUGUGAGGGUUUGUCAUAAGUCUCCAACCCUAUUUGCCCAAUAAAGACACAUUAAAAUCAUGCAAAUUAAAUGGCGAAAUCCCAGACCUCCGUACAUAUUUGAUUUGCACAGUUUGUCCCAGCUUAUCCAGUGAAUACCUUUUGACUUCUUCGGAUUUGUUUUCCACCAAAACUUGCACAUCAUUUGUUCCAUGUCCCUACACAUCUCGAGCGGAAGAAGGAAAACGCUCAUAGCGUAGUUUGGCAUCGCUUGAGCCACUGUUUUUAUUAAAAUUUCCUUACCUCCUUUAUUUAACAGCUUCCCAUCCCACGGCUGAACCCUUUGUUGAACUUUUUCUUUCAAGUAACCCAACAGAGCUGAUUUCUUUCUACCCAGGCUGUUAGGAAGACCUAAGUAAUGACUGGAAUCAUCAGCCUCAUGGAACUUAAGGAUAUCCAAAACCUCCUUUUUUGUGUCUGCAACGACAUUACGACUGAAAAAUACGCAAAAAUACGCUCGAUUUCUCGACAUUAAGCUUUUGACCAGAUGCAGUUUCACAUGUGCUUAAGAUAUUCAUUACAUGUUCAGCGUCUUCCUUAGUAGCUUUACAGAAGAUGUAACUGUCGUCGGCGAAGAACAUGUGGGUUACAGUAGGGGCACCUCUGGCUACCUUUAUACCCGUAAUCAAACCUUUCCUUUCAUAUUCCUUUAUUAUAGAAGUUAGGCCUUCCAUACAAACUAGUAACAAGUAAGAUGACAGCGGAUCGCCCUGUCGAAGGCCUCUUUCAGGAAUAAUAUCUCCAAAUUCUCUUCCUGCGUGAGUUAUUUUGUAUCUAGCAGACGUCACACAACUCAUUAGAAUAUUCACCAUCGUCACAUUGAAUCCCAUUUUCGAUAAAGUUGCCCUUAAAUAGGAUCAUUCUACGCGAUCAUAGGCCUUGCUCAUGCAUGUCAAGCUUAAGAGCCAUCCAACCCGUUUUGCCUUGAGUCUUUCUCUUCAUGUAGUGCAUGAUUUCAAAUGAUAUCAUGAUGUUUUCAGAGAUUAAACGCCCUGGGAUGAAAGCACUUUGAGUUUCCGAGAUUACCUUGUCAAUCACUUCUUUCAGUCUAUUUGCCAUGACCUUGGCCGCAAUUUUAUAUACAACAUUGCAAAGAGAGAUGGGUCUGAGGUCUGUCAUGAAUUGAGGGUUCUUCUUCUUCGGUACAAGAACUAUAUUUGUAUCUGUGAGGAUUAUAAACCCACUUGCAUCUUCAGCUGUUUGUGAAACAAGGGAUAUAUUUACUCUUUACAAUUUAAUUAUAAAAGAAUUUAUGCGUCAGGUCCUACGUUCUAAGGACGACAUCAAAUUUUCAUACGAAAACAAAGGGCUAUACAUAUAACAAACCCAAUCAAAUUACUAUGAUUAAUAAAGUAAAACUCUUAUGAAAAGUGGAUUCCACACUCAUGCACGCAGCAAUGGAACUUAAAAACUAAAACCUUAACUUUUCGUUUAAUUUCACGUAGAAAAUGUGCUUUUGUGCAGCACUGAUGCCACAAAGACUUACUUCAACAUAGAUUACGCACCACUUCAAUCCCUCCGACAAGUUAUAUCAGAGGCAAAUGCCAACCAGGGAAAAGGAAUUCCAAGACCAAUGCCAAUUCAUUUUGUACUGUCGGAAAACACAACUGCUGGUGAGUCAAAUAUUAGGGACAUACUGGAAGCUAAACUGUCAGCUGCCACCGCGUAAGAGUGCCCUGAACACAUAAUCUACACUUCCUCAAAAAACACCCACUUCGUCUAAUAUUUUUACUACCACAAAGCUCAACACAAGCUCACCUUGGAUUAGUUUUUAUACACAGUGCCAUGCAUUUGGGAAUGCCACAAAACUAACAGCAUUUAAAAGUUGACAACCAAACAAUCACACCACAUCUCUUUAUUAGCCAAACACUUAACGAUGCAAAAAAAAAAAAAAAAAAACCUCAAACUUAAAUUGUAGGUUCUACGCCGGACAUGCGAGGCCACAAUAGUGGCGGUUGUGGAAGGCGAGGGAUGGUACUACAAUUGCUGCCCACGAUGCGCACGCAAAGUGCAGACUACUACUGAGGGGAAUUAUUACUGCACAUUCUGCUCUAAGGAGGCCCAAGAUUUCAAGUUACGGUACUUGACUUGCAAUCAUCCUUUAACAUUAAUAUCAACUAUAUUUGCAUUCACAGUACCAUCAAAAAUAAGGAAAACUCAUCAACUUAAUACAGGUUCAGGCUUACCGUCCGAGUGGAAGACUCGAAUGCCCAAACAACUUUCACCCUCAAUAAAGAGGCCGAACAGAUCGUCGGCAUACCAGUGGACAAAAUUAUCGACGAGUUUCCAGAGGUGACCCAAAAUUUAAAAACAAGCGCAUUCAUAUGAGCCAUAUAAUUUCAAGACCGCUAACUCUGGUACUGUUUGCAGGGCACAAACAUUGCAGAAAUACCCCUGUCAUUAAGAACAUAAUUGGAAAGCGUUGCGUGUUUGAUGUCAAGAUUAAUGAAUAUAACACUGUCCGCGGUUACAAAGAUUAUACCGUGUAUCGGCAUAAACUCAACAGCCAGACGGAACAGCCCUCGACCAGCAACAAAGACAACCCAAACAACUCAAAGAAACAGAGGGUGAAUUGAGGAAGUCCAAAAACAAGCUACAUCCAGCACUACAAACAAAGAUAGCAUCAUCAACUUAGUUAUUCCGCACAAUCUUUAGCAGCAUUACACUAUGCACUAGACCAUCUACUAUAAAUGCAUCAGAAUCUUUGAACACAUGCACGUAUUCCAUAUGCAUUACUAACCUUCUUCGUAAGAGCAUCUCCAAUGUGAGGUGCCAACCAAAGUUGCUAAACAUGCUUAUUCAUCAAAAAUAUCAAUAUUUUAUUUUCUCUUUCUUUUAAGUUACUUUUGGCACCCCUCUUAUCAAUAUUCACUCAAAUGGUUGGCAAUUAAAGUUGUCAAAAUACUAUAAUUUUGUUUAUCUAAAAUUAGAUAGGAUAUUAUAGGCUUUUAUGACAAUAAAUGAAUUUUUUCCAUUUUGAGAGAGUGCCAAAGGGUGCCAAAAAUUGGCAACUUUGCUUGGCACCCCUAUCACUCCAAUGGGUAGCCAAAAAGAUUGUUAUGCCAUGUCAUGCCACAUGACAUUUUGGCACCUCUUUUAGCACCCCCAUUGGAGAUGCUCUAAUACUAUCCAUCUGAAUUCCGAUAUGUUUUAAAAUUAUUUCAAAAUUCUGUCAACAAUAUUUUAAAUCAUUAUUAUUGAUAAAUUUGCAAUAUUAAUUUUUCCCAAGUUCAAUAAAAGAGGUAUAUUAACUAAUAUAUGUUACUAUAAUUAUCUAAACGAAUUUAUUAUUUGAAAAUAUGUUAUUUCAAACUAAUUUAUUAUAAUGAAAGACAUCCAUUUCGAAGAAUACUAAAUUAAAACAAAAAAUAUUAAAACAGAUCACCAUAUUAAUUAUUAUGUAUGAAAUAUUACCAAAAACAAUAUCUUAUCUAUAUAAAAUAUAAUUUAUAGUGGUCGUCUCAAUAAAUACUAAUCGCAUUACUUCCCUAAAUAUUUUAUAAGAUGUACAUCUCUUCCAAAAAUUAAUCACUGAAAAAAAAAUACGUAAUCUAUCUUCAAAAAAGAUACAAAAAUUUAAAAAAAAAUUAAAUAAAUUUAUUUUAUAGACUUCUCUUUUUUAAAUAGUAAUAUAAGAUAGAAUAUAUAAUGCAGAUUAUGAUAGUGUUGUAAAUAGCAAACAUUCUAAAAAUAAAAUAACAUUGAACAGACUCCACAAUUCGUUACACAACCAUCUCAACAUAUUGCCAACAUAUUGCCCAAACAAAUGAGGCUUACUACUAUUUUCCUAAUUGUAAGGCCAUCGUACACCUCUCGCAUCUGGAGUUCUUCUCAUAGUUGUGUAUUCCUCGGUCGCAUUUUAGUUGUCCAUUUGAUUUUAUGCCGAUCGAAUUGAUCAAAGUUUGACUGCAAUUUAUUAAUAAUUUAUCAAUUUAAAAAAUAAAAAAAAAUUUGCCAUCAGAAAUAAUCUUUAAUCGACUUUAAGAUGUAAUUUUCAGUUUUUUUUAAAAUAAUGAAAGAGUAAUUCAAUUUGACAAACAAAAAUAAAAAUGUGACAACUAAAAAAGGACGGAGGGAGUACAAAUUUUCAUUUAAUUUAAUGGGAACCAACUCAGGCAGACACAAGUGUGCUGAGAGCAAGUCGUAUAGGUUACCUAAACUUUCUCCUAAACUCACAUUUAGAUAAUGUACUAAAAAAAAGUACUCCAACACUCUCUUAAUGGUUACAUAAAUCACUAGUAUAACCUCAAAUCUCCUAGCCAUUACCUAUUUAUAAGUAUCCCGUGGCCAUUACCUAUUUAAUAUUUAUGAAUAAAGUAAUCAUCUCUCUCCUUUUUUCUUUGUCUUUUUUUUCUCUCUCUCAUUCUCUCUGUCAAAUUUGUUAUUAAAAUAAUUUUAAGAGAACAAAUAUAGAGAUUGCUUUUGGAGUUGACACUAAAAAUAAAUUUAUCUAAAUACUCGUCAAGAUUCAUUAUUUUAUAUUAUUGAUAAGUAAUUAUAUAGGUAUUCAACUUUGAAGUCUACAUUCAUUCACUCACAUGGAUAAAUUAAUUUUUGCCCCUCAAACUCUUCCUAAUUUACACUUUUAGCCAACCUCACCCUGAACAAACGAGUACACAUCUAAAAUAUUAAAAUGAAAAAGUAAAACAGACAAAGUACACACACACACAAAUAUAUAUCAUAUUAUCAUCAAGUUUUCUCUUUUUUCUUCAAGUUCAACCCCUUUUAAUCUUCUCAGAUCCAUAUUCUUAUUUUUAUCAUUAAUUUUUACAAAUCUCCUGGUAGGUUUGAAUCCAUGGUUCUUGUCUGAAAAUCUACUUGUGUUCUGCUUAGGUUGUUUAUUGAACAAGUCUAACCUUUGUCAAACUAAAAGAAGAGCUGCACUUUUCAUGUCUUUACUUGGUUUUAUUAUGUAAAUGAUCAGUUGCUGAAGAUGAGUUCCAAGUAAACAAACAAAGGUAUGAUCUUUAUGUUUCUAUUGUUUGUAUAAGUUGAAUUUUAUUAGUUUAGCUUUAAUCUUUAUGUUUCUAUUGUUUGCAUAAGUUGAAUUUUAUUAUUUUAGCUUUAAAUAUGAUUUGUGUAACUGAUAGAUCUUUGCUUUGAAAUUUUGUUGAUAAUUUCAUGUUCUAAAGGAUUUUUGGUUUUUAUUACGCUAGAUCUUGUUAAAAGUUUGAAUCUUGAUUAAUUUUUGUUUUGUUUUUUAUAUAUGAGAUGAUGGGUUGUGAGUUUGGUAUUGUUUGUUAUUAAAGUUUGUGUCUUUUUGAUAUGUAUGUGCUGUAUUGAUAGGUUUGUGUGGUCAGAAAUAUAAGGGGGGUGUAUCAAGAUUAUGGAAGAGGUGGGUACUCAAGUUGCUUCUUCUCAUUAUAUUCACCAAUCACUUUCCAAGCAUUUUCUUGACUCACAACACCACCCCAUGGCUGCGGCUAAGAAGCGUAGUAUGCCUUUCCAUCCCCUCGGUUUUCACCUACCACAGUCGCAACAGCAGCAGCCUAUGUUUGGUUCUGGAUUUCAACAAAGCAGGGGUCAGUGGCACCCUAAUGGUUGGGAUUGGGACAGUGCAAAAUUUCUUGCAAAGCCAGUGGAAUCGGAUGUUAUCCGCGGGGGACCUUCGACAAUGUCUGUGCAAUCUGUAAUGCAGAGAGGUCACGGUGAUGAGAUAAUUGCAGCGAAUUCUGUGGAUUUGAGGGGAAAUCAUGUAGUGGAAGAUGAUGAGAAUCUACUUUUAAAGCUCGGGGGAAGCCGUGUUAAUUCUGCGGAGGAGAAUGUUUUGAGGCCUAACAAGAAAGUCAGAUCUGGAUCUCCUGCUGGUGGGAACUAUCCUAAAUGUCAAGUUGAUGACUGUAAGGAGGAUCUUUCAACUGCUAAAGACUAUCACAGGCGGCAUAAGGUGUGUGAAGUCCACAGUAAAGCUACCAAGGCUAUUGUGGGAAAGCAGAUGCAGCGGUUUUGUCAGCAGUGUAGCAGGUUUGUGGCUUUGUUUCUCGACUUAAACAUUUCAUGUUAAAUUAGUUUGUGCUAUUAGGACAUGUUCCACUUCGUGUGUAAUGGAAUCUUUUUCUCAUGGUGUGAAUUGAGAGGGGCUUACCGUUCUUUGUUGUUACUAAGCAAAUUUUGUUUAUGCAUUUUUUUUGCAGGUUUCACCCUCUUUCAGAGUUUGACGAGGGAAAGCGAAGUUGUAGGCGGAGGCUAGCAGGGCAUAAUCGGCGAAGGAGGAAAACUCAACCAGAUGAUGUUACCUCCAAGUUGUUACCUCCCACUAACCGUGAGAAUGUUAGUAACGGAGAUGUGGAUCUUGUCAAUAUUUUAGCAAUUCUAGCUCGUGCACAAGGUACAUUUUUCUGUGUUGCUUUGUUUGAAUCCCCAGUUUGUUGUUUGCACAUCUGUACCGAGCAUAAAAGCCUAAUACUAAUAUAUGCAAAUUACUAGGGAAUACUGAAGAUGGCAGCAUUAAUGGCUCAUCGAUUCCCAAUAAAGAUCAGCUUAUUCAAAUCCUUCAAAAGAUUAACGCGUUACCUUUGCCAGCGGAUUUUUCUGCAAAGUUUCCUCCUUCAGGAGUCACUAGUAACAUUGCUCCGUUUCAGUCAGAGAGCGAAAAUAAACUGAAUGGAAAUAAUUCUCACUCGUCAACUCUGGACUUGCUCGCUGUUCUUUCAGGAAAUCAAGCAGGAUCCUCUCCUGAUGCCACUGCAGUUCCUUCCCGAAGAAGCAGUCAUGGGAGCGACAGUGAAAAGACUAGGUCUCCAUGUACCAAUAUGCAAACCAGACACCAGAAUGAGUUUGCUUCAGUUGGAGAAAGAAGUAGUACUAGUUAUCAGUCUCCUACAGAAUGUUCAGAUGGCCAAGUGCAGGAAAUUCGUACUAAUUUACCGUUGCAGCUUUUCAGUUCCUCUCCUGAAAGUGACAGCCCACCGAAAUUGGCAUCAAGCACGAAAUACUUCUCAUCAGGUAGCAGUAACCCUAUGGAAGAAAGGUCACCUUCAUCUUCUCCGCCUUUUGUGCAAAAGUUGUUUCCCACAGUUUUCUCAAGAGAAGCAGUAAAUCCCAAGAGAUUGUUAAAUAGACUUGAGUUUAAUGGGAGUUCUAAAGCUGGUAAGGAUAAAGGCUGCUCCACGUCUCUUGAUCUUUUUGGAGGGAUGAAUAAAUGUGUUGACGAUAGUUCUGUUCAAAGUUUUCCAUACCAGGCAGGGUACACAUCCUCUUCUGGAUCGGAUCAUUCACCUUCAAGUUUAAAUUCGG